Molecule: ribosomal RNA, 345 nt
Filed under: uncultured bacterium
Lineage: Bacteria
Description: bacterial SSU rRNA
Rfam family: Bacterial small subunit ribosomal RNA
Source: RNAcentral
UUAAUAGCGUGCUCGUUUGACGUUAGCUGCAGAAGAAGCACCGGCUAACUCCGUGCCAGCAGCCGCGGUAAUACGGAGGGUGCGAGCGUUAAUCGGAAUUACUGGGCGUAAAGCGCAUGCAGGUGGUUUGUUAAGUUCAGAUGUGAAAGCCCCGGGGCUCAACCUCGGAAUUGCAUUUGAAACUGGCAGACUAGAGUACUGUAGAGGGGGUAGAAUUUCAGGUGUAGCGGUGAAAAUGCGUAGAGAUCUGAAGGAAUACCGGUGGCGAAGGCGGCCCCCCUGGACAGAUACUGACACUCAGAUGCGAAAAGCGUGGGGAGCAAACAGGAUUAGAUACCCUGGUAG